This 98-nucleotide small nuclear RNA is filed under the name Propithecus coquereli (Coquerel's sifaka). Lineage: Eukaryota; Metazoa; Chordata; Mammalia; Primates; Indriidae. The record is from RNAcentral.
GUGCUUCAGCAGCACAUAUACUAAAAUUGGAACGAUAUAGAGAAGAUUAGCAUAGCCCCUGAGCAAAGACAAAAAAAAAAAAAAAAAAGAAUACUGUU